GAUGAACGCUGGCGGUAUGCCUAACACAUGCAAGUCGUACGAGAGUUUUUAACUCUAGUGGCGGACGGGUGAGUAACACGUGAGAAUUUGCCUUUAGGAGGGGAUAACAAUUGGAACGAAUGCUAAUACCCCAUAUGCUUUCGAGUGAAGAUGGACUCGCGUCCGAUUAGCUAGUUGGUGGGGUAAAGGCCUACCAAGGCGACGAUCGGUAGCCGGACUGAGAGGUUGAACGGCCACAUUGGGACUGAGACACGGCCCAGACUCCUACGGGAGGCAGCAGUGGGGGAGUAUUGCACAAUGGGGGGAAACCCUGAUGCAGCAACGCCGCGUGUGGGAGAAGGUUUUCGAUGUAAACCACUGUUCUUGGUGAAGAUAAUGACGGUAACCAAGGAGAAAGCUCCGGCUAACUACGUGCCAGCAGCCGCGGUAAUGUCAGAGUG
RNAcentral lists this ribosomal RNA (440 nucleotides) under uncultured bacterium. RNAcentral describes it as "bacterial SSU rRNA". It matches the Rfam family "Bacterial small subunit ribosomal RNA", at positions 28 to 532 of the family's 1533-position model. The record is from RNAcentral.